UUUUCGACCUGAACUCAGACGUGACUACCCGCUGAACUUAAGCAUAUCAUUUAGCGGAGGA
RNAcentral lists this ribosomal RNA (61 nucleotides) under Pratylenchus lentis. Its description in RNAcentral is "partial 26S ribosomal RNA". It matches the Rfam family "Eukaryotic large subunit ribosomal RNA", at positions 1 to 57 of the family's 3401-position model. The record is from RNAcentral. Lineage: Eukaryota; Metazoa; Nematoda; Chromadorea; Rhabditida; Pratylenchidae.